This 1597-nucleotide long non-coding RNA is filed under the name Monodelphis domestica (gray short-tailed opossum). RNAcentral's name for it is "lncRNA (ENSMODG00000036185.2)". The record is from RNAcentral. Lineage: Eukaryota; Metazoa; Chordata; Mammalia; Didelphimorphia; Didelphidae.
AAUUCAGAUGGGAGAACAGUGAAAAAUAAAUUUUGAAAAAGUAUUUCGAGAAUAAAAAAGGGGGGGAGCAAAAUUUCUUUGAUUAUUCAUCAGUCUGAUUUCUAUGUAACAUAGCCUUACAGAUGAACAAACCUGACCGUGAUCUAAAUGGCCCAAUUAAAAGGCAAUUGGACAUAUACAUGCAUAUGUUUGCAUGCAUAUACACGAAUACACUAAUAUAUGUAUGUAUAUAUACAUGUAGAUAUAUGUAUAUACAUAUGUAUCAUGUCCAUAUUAAAAUAAUAUGGAGUUUAUUAAAUAUGUUGGUGCAUUUUGUAAUGAUGGGGAGUAAGACAAAAGAACCAUUGGGGGAAAUGGAAAUGUUGAGACUUCUACAGUUGCAUGAGGCAGGAAUGACAGUUGGAAACUGGACAAAGACUUCUGGGAAAUUCUCUGGAGGAGGGGGUCCUGAGGGUGGAGACACAUAGAAGGGAAUGGAAGGAGGAGCUGUUUCUCUAGGCCAUUUGAGACAACUUUGGGUUUUUUCUCUGGAUGUGGAUAGCGUUCUUUCUCAUAAUUUCCACUGGAUUGUCCUGGAUCAUCACAUUGCUACUAGUAGAAAAACCGGUUACAUUUGCUUAUGCCAAAAUGUUUCAGUCUCUGUGUACAAUGUUCUCCUGCUUCUGCUCCUUUCACUGCACCAGUUCCUGAAGUUCUUUCCAGUUCACAUGGAAUUCCUCCAGUUCAUUCCUUUCAGCACAAAAGUAUUCCAUCACCAUCAGAUGCCGCAAUUUGUUCAGCUAUUCCCCAAUCAACAGAUAACCCCUCAUUUUCCAAUAUUUUGCCAUCACAGAAAGUGUAACUAUAAAUAUUUUUGUACAUGUCUUUUUCUUUAUUAUCUCUGUGGGGUACAAACCCAGCAGUGGUAUGGUUGGGUGAAAGGGUAGGAAUUCAUUUAAAGCCCUUUGCACAUAAUUCCAAAUUGAACUCCAGGAUGGUAGGACCAAUUCACAACUUUACCAGCAAUGCAUUAAUGUCUAGACUUUGCCACAUCCCCUCCAACAUUUAUUACUUUCCUUUGCUGUCAUGUUAGCCAGUUUGCUAAGUGUGAGGUGUUUCAUGUGCUUUUUGAUAGCUUUGAUUUCAUCAUGUGAAAACUGCCUAUUCAUGUCCCUUGACCAUUUGUCGAUUGGGAAUGGCUUGAUUUUUUUGUAAAUUUGACUUAGGUCAUUAUUUAUUUGGGAAAUUAAGCCUUUGUCAGAGAGUUUUGUUAAUUUUUUUUUCUAAUUUUGGUUGCACUGGUUUUGUUUGAACAAAAUCUUUUUAAUUUGUUAUAACCAAAGUCAUUCAUUUUACAUUUUUUAAUAUUCUCUCUCUCUUGCUUGGUCUUAAAUUCCUUCCUUUCCCAUAGAUAUUACAGGUAUAUUAUUCUAUGUUCACCUAAUUUGCUUAUGAUUUCAUUCUUUAUAUUUAAGUCAUUUAGCCAUUUUGAAUUUAUCUUGGUAUAGGGUGUGAGAUGUUUAUCUAAACCUGAUUUUUCCCAGACUGUUUUCAAAUCUUCCCAGCAGUUUUUCUCAAAGAGUGAACUCUUGUCCCCAACGCUGGGAUCUUUGGGUUU